Molecule: ribosomal RNA, 492 nt
Filed under: uncultured bacterium
Lineage: Bacteria
Description: partial 16S ribosomal RNA
Rfam family: Bacterial small subunit ribosomal RNA
Source: RNAcentral
AGUGAACGCUGGCGGUAGGCCUAACACAUGCAAGUCGAACGGCAGCACAGUAAGAGCUUGCUCUUACGGGUGGCGAGUGGCGGACGGGUGAGGAAUACAUCGGAAUCUACUUUUUCGUGGGGGAUAACGUAGGGAAACUUACGCUAAUACCGCAUACGACCUACGGGUGAAAGCAGGGGAUCUUCGGACCUUGCGCGAUUGAAUGAGCCGAUGUCGGAUUAGCUAGUUGGCGGGGUAAAGGCCCACCAAGGCGACGAUCCGUAGCUGGUCUGAGAGGAUGAUGAGCCACAAUGGAACGGAGAACAGGUCCAGACUCCGACGGGAGGGAGCAGUAGGGAAUAUUGGACAAUGGGCGCAAGGCUGAUCAAGCAAUACCGCGUGGGUGAAGAAGGCCUUCGGGUUGUAAAACCCUUUUGUUGGGAAAGAAAAGCAGCAGGUUAAUACCCGGCUGUUCUGACGGUACCCAAAGAGAAAGCACCGGCUAACUUCGUG